UACGGAGGGGGCUAGCGUUGUUCGGAAUUAUUGGGCGUAAAGGGCGCGUAGGCGGCCUUGUAAGUCAAAGGUGAAAUCCCUCGGCUCAACUGAGGAACUGCCUUUGAAACUGCAAGGCUUGAGGCCGGGAGGGGGUAGCGGAAUUCCCAAUGUAGCGGUGAAAUGCGUAGAUAUUGGGAGGAACACCAGUGGCGAAGGCGGCUACCUGGACCGGUUCUGACGCUGAGGCGCGAAAGCGUGGGUAGCAAACAGG
This 253-nucleotide ribosomal RNA is filed under the name uncultured bacterium. RNAcentral describes it as "partial 16S ribosomal RNA". It matches the Rfam family "Bacterial small subunit ribosomal RNA", at positions 524 to 776 of the family's 1533-position model. The record is from RNAcentral.